UUUUGAAUGAGAUGUUAUUUACCUAGACUUUUUAUCAAGUGACAACUGUCCAGGUCUUCCCUGAUGCUGGAGUGGAAUCCCUAUUAGACCCAUAACAGGGCAGUUGUUAUAUUAGUAUAUCACUGCAAAUUGCAGCUAAAGUUCACAAACUGAGCACCAAUAACAUCUUUAUCAGUUCAGCACAUUCUGUAACACUCUCAUAUUAAGUAGUACGUACAUUCUACUGUUCCGGUGAC
RNAcentral lists this unclassified non-coding RNA (236 nucleotides) under Hevea brasiliensis (rubber tree). Lineage: Eukaryota; Viridiplantae; Streptophyta; Magnoliopsida; Malpighiales; Euphorbiaceae. The record is from RNAcentral.